UACAGAGGGGGCAAGCGUUGUUCGGAAUUACUGGGCGUAAAGGGCGCGUAGGCGGCCUAUUAAGUCGAACGUGAAAUCCCCGGGCUCAACCCGGGAACUGCGUCCGAUACUGGCAGGCUUGAAUCCGGGAGAGGGAUGCGGAAUUCCAGGUGUAGCGGUGAAAUGCGUAGAUAUCUGGAGGAACACCGGUGGCGAAGGCGGCAUCCUGGACCGGCAUUGACGCUGAGGCGCGAAAGCCAGGGGAGCAAACGGG
Molecule: ribosomal RNA, 253 nt
Filed under: uncultured bacterium
Lineage: Bacteria
Description: partial 16S ribosomal RNA
Rfam family: Bacterial small subunit ribosomal RNA
Source: RNAcentral